This 442-nucleotide long non-coding RNA is filed under the name Carica papaya (papaya). Its description in RNAcentral is "long non-coding RNA (CPAP_LNC008284)". Lineage: Eukaryota; Viridiplantae; Streptophyta; Magnoliopsida; Brassicales; Caricaceae. The record is from RNAcentral.
UAAAUAAAUGUUUCGCUUCCAAACUAGUUACCAUAGCUUACACCAACUAAAAUCCAAAUAUUAUAGCUAGGUACAUGAGGAAAGAGAACCAGUCCUAUUUUAAGUGUGGUGAGAAUUAUUUCUAAGUUAAUAUUGUAAAAAGAAAUAAAGCUUUAGUAAUGGAGGAAUGUUAAAAAGAGCUCAUUAAAGAUGAUGAGGAAAAUUAAAAGGAUAAGGUUGAAUAGGCAAAUACUAUAAUACUAUCUAUCUAAGCCAUUGAAGCAUAUUUAUGUAGAGAAUGAUUAAAAUUAGUGGUGGAAGAUAUGAGAGUGAUGAUACUGCUAGAUAGUUGUAGCUCUUAUUCAUUUAUAGGUGAAAAGUUGGUUAAGAGACUCAACCAAGAGGUGGCAUUUAGAGCAACCUUAAUUAUCAUAAUCUCCAAUGGCCAAUGAGUGGUGAAUAG